UUUUUUUUUUUUUUUGUGUUUUGGAUAUUUUAAAGUGUGUAGGUUAAAAACUUUGAUAAGUUUUUAGAGUUCCUGUAGCAAAAGUUAUUAAAAAACUAGUAUCAUACAAACUUGGCUAAAAAUCAAGGUUCCAAACAGGCCAUUCUUCAAGCAAAUUACUCUUCAAAACUGCUUCUAAAACUCUCUCUCUCAAAGUGAAGGACGCAAUACUUACCUACCCUAUCUACAAAAGUUGGAUUUACGACAGGAAAAAAGAAAACGUCAAUUAUCACCAAACUUGAGGGAGGGCAAAAGCCUUAAAAGGAAAGUCCACUUGAGAAAAGUUACAUGCUGAGAAAGGCUACUCAGGAAGUUCUUAAAUUGCAAGCCAAAGAUCACAAACAAUUGGUGACAUGGCAAUAAUCCAUCUUAAAAUUAGUUGACUCGGCAUGCAUUGCUUGUUUUGCUAAUUUUUACAACAGGUUAUGCAAUAAGCAACACAACGAGCCAAAAGGUUAAUAUAUAGUGCCAAACCUGACAUUUCCAUUGAUGUCCCUAUCUUUCACAUGAAUCCCGUCUGCUUGAAGAUCCGAGCAAUCUUUGCUGCCAAGGUACCUUCUAGUUCUAGCGGUAAGGAAACAUGUAUGAGAAGUCAAGCAUCUAUCAUGCAAAUGUUGAGAGGACCAUUUAUAAUGCCCAGUCUUAUCAUAUAGGACAAGUGCAGGUGAGUGAAAACUCGAUCAAACUCUGGUUUUUCCUUUUGUCAAGUCAACAUAAAAUGGGGAAAAAAUAGGGAACUUGUUGAACAUCCGACCGACAAAAAACAGGUCUUAAUUUCAAAGAUUAAAACAGCGAUCCUGUUCCUAUAUGUGAUUAUAGAUCCUAUAUUCAAAAUGUCUUGGUCACUUCUAUGCCAUUUUGAGGUUAAUAGUAUAGAAAACCUUCAACAGUCGAGAAAAUAUGAAAUAUUAAGUUGCUUUAAUACUAAAUCCUACACAAUAUGUUUUGCUCAGUGUGGAGAGGACAAUUGUGGACAAAGGUUUCUGUGGCACACUCACUCUCUAGACUCCAAAUGUAGAUGAAAGGGAAUGAAUACGAAGAGAGGAUAUUAUAAAACAUACCUCUAGAGGACCGCUCUUAGAGGAUGACUAAUAUGCAUAUCCUGAGUAACAAUAACAGCAUCUUCAUCACAGCCUUCUUAUCCUUGUGCCCUCUGUGUGUGUAGGGAUGGGGAUUAUUGGCAAUAAAAAAGGGAUGCCACGGGCGGAGGAGAUGGCAGAGUGGCAAUAGCAAUACUAAUGGAGAACACUGAAAAAGACAUCAGGAAGAAAACAAUACAACUGCGUGAAACAGUUCAGUCAAAAUGCAAAGGGAGAAAUCACCGCUGUUGUCGAGCAGCUAGUGUAAAUAUGAUAGAAGGCUAAGAGUUGAGAUCAAUGGUACUUUCAUUUUUGAGACAUUUAGUCAAAAAUUAUGAAAGUUUCAGGGUUGAGGCUGAUCCAAGAAUCAGGCAAUAGCCUGUUAGAAUUUAUAAGUGGCCAUUUCAACCCAAUUUGACGAUUUCAUUUUCGUGACUUCCAAGUUCCAAACUGCAAUCAUCUCUUUUUGACAAUGAGUUUGGAUUUUUCCACAAAUGAACCUAGCACUUGCAAGUCAUAAACCAACAAAUUUGAAUGGCUUGCAAGUCAUAGGUCAACAAAAUUUUUAAUGACGGUUAUCAUUAAUUUUCUUAUUCAUGCAAAACUGUUAAUAAAAUUUAAAAAGGCAGCACACAACCAGAGUGAAUAGAUAUAUAUAUAUAUAUAUAUAUAUAUAUAUAUAUCACAAGCAAUUUCAAAUGUUUGUUUCCUAAAUGAUGUUGUAACCUGAUAGUAUCCUCCUCCUAGAAAUGCAAUUUGAAACGACUGAAAACAACAAAGUUGCUUGCAUUUCCCUAAUAAAAGAUCUCUUCCUGAAAAGAAACAAGGAUGAGAUUGACUGGCCCUAUAGCAUAUCGUAAAUUAUCAGUGAUAAAUAUCAAUUACGUAUCUUCAGAAUUACAAUUUCUUCCUAACCUUCUCAACUACAAAAGUUCCAACACUCUGCACAAUAAACGUUCCAAUUAAAAUAAACUUUUGAUGAUCAUUAGCAAGUAUCCCCAGAAUCCCAGAAUCCAAAACCUCAGCAAGAUAUUUCUCAAAAGCUUUGACAACCUUUCUCGGUAAACGUCCUUUAGGUUUAAAAAGUUCAACGCAAUGGAAAGUUCAGAGGGGAGGUCAGGUGGCCUGGCUAUGCUACCAAAGAAAUCCAUUAAUAUUUCUUUGAUAGCAUACGACGGGGUUUAGUUUAAAAGCCAUGGAGCUUAACAGGAUAGGUGUUAGAGAUAUCCAAGUUUUGUGUCUGAAUAAAUGUCAAAUCUUUGUGACACUUUACAGAAAAGGAAUUUCACGGACUAAGAUAAACAUCAAACAAAUAUUAACAAAACCAUUCCACAUAAGAUGUCUCUCGGAUAACUCUAUGAAAAACCCUUAGGGUUUGUUUGGUUUAUGGAUUGAAUGAGAUGGGAUUACUUAUCCGAUUAUUAAUUCUGGACUGAAGUAUCCUCAAAUUCAUAAUUCAAGUUAUGUAGUGUUUGGUUGAUCAUAGGUUGGAUAGGAUAUAUUGAGAAAUAAUCUUACCCUAUAUUUGGUUAAACAUUAGAUGAGAUGGAAUUAUUAUUUUAAUAACCAAAGUAUUCCUUAAUUUGUAGGACUUUUUUAAUAAAAUAAUUUAUAAAUUUAUAAAUUUAAUUAAAGUAAAGUAAUUUGAAACUUUAGAAUAGAGUAAAUCAAGGGUUUUCAUAUAUAAAAAUUUGCAUUCAUUCAAACUCAACCCAUUCGGACCCUUAAAAAUAGGUUUUAACCUAGUUUUUUAAUCUAAAUUGAAAUUCAAUUAAACAAUAGGUCGAGUUUUGGCUAAGUUAGGGUUAAAUUGAAUAAAUUUCAACCCAUUAAGAGUUUUAAAUGAGCCAAGUUCAAGCCAAUAUAGAAGAUUUUUCUUUGGACGAAGUUUAAGUUCAUUGAAACACUAGUUUGCCAAGCCUAAUUGAUAAGGUUAUGUAUUUAUAUAGAAUUUGGGUGAGAAAAUAAGGUUUGUAAGGACAAUUUAGUCCAAGGGCAAUAUAGUCCAUUUAUUAUGAUGUAAGUAGGGACAAAUUAAUCAAAAAAAAUUUAAAUUAAUUGAAAAUUUUGCCAAAUUGGUCCCCAACAUUUGCAAAAAAAAAAAAAAAAAAAAAAAAAAACUUUUUUAGUUCCUAACAUUUAAAAUCAGCCAAAAUAGUUCCUAGUAUAUAAAUUAUAUACUAGUUUGGUCCUAAUGCUUGUUUUUGCUCAUUUUUCCGACUAAAAAUUGCACACCUUUCUCAUGUGGGUAUAAUUUCAAGGGCAAAAUCGAAAAAUACACUUCGUUCCUAGUUGAGUUUUUCCUCUUUCCUUUAUAUUUCUUAAACUAAACCCUAAUUGCCUCACAUACAAAUCACAAUCGAAGAAGAAAAACUCAUCGACAACUGGAUGACUGUGCAAUGGAGGAAGAAUAGGAAGAAAAUGCGCAGAAGAAGCUAACCAAUUAAAGAGUACAAUGGAUCCAAACAAUGAGCAAUGUCAUUGUGGCAAGGAACCCAUUAUUGUGACUUCAUGGAGACCAGCAAAUUUGAGAAGGAGAUUCUAUAGCUACCCAAAUUUGUUUGCCAUCUGCCAUGUUCCUACCAGGAAUCAAGUAAUAGUAGCCUACAGUAUAAUGUUCAUAUUCAAGUUUAUUUGCUAUUUCAACCAGUUUACAUAGAGACCAUCUUUUCGAAUCACAACUAUCAACUAUGUCAACCAAACCCCCUGUAUAGUCUCUAUUUUGGGUAUCCCUAAAUUCACCUUCAAAGUGUAUGCAAAUAGAAAAACGCAUCUCAUUAGUCCCUGUCAUCUAUUAAAAUGACAAUUACUUUGGGAUCAUGAUAGAAGGGUGGAACCUUUGAUAAAAAAUUAUGGACCACAGCAUAAAUUAAUAAAAUAAUGAACAUUCUCCAAUUAAUUAAAGUAAAACACAGUCUUAAGCAAGAUUUGGCCACGACAAUAUCUUUAUUAAAUACAUUGGUAAAAAAAACUCAUCAUAAUGCAUUGUCAAUUUCCACUUUCUCGGUUUCAUUUUGCAUCUUUUUGAGGAUUUUAUUCAAGAUUUUUAGAUCAAAACUUCAAUCAUUCCUCUAUCAUAUGCCUACACCUUUCUUGUUGUCAUCAUCAUCAACAAAAUUCUUGAGGUUAUGCUUCUUAAUUAGGGGAUGGAGGGAAUUAGGGUUUCUUGUGACAGUAAAUUGAGAGGAACGGUGAUAAAAAAGGGUGGUCAUCUCAUGCACUUUUGCUUUAGGAGGGAGUCGAAAUGUGUUUUUCAGUUUUGCCCUUGAAAUUAUGCUCAUGUGAGAGAGACGUGUGAUUUUUAGUUGAAAAAAAUGAGUAAAGACGAGUAUUAGGACUAAACUAGCACGGAAUUUAUAUGCUAGGGACUACUCUGACUAAUUUUAAAUGUUAGAGAUUAAAAAAAAAUUUUUUUUUACAAAUAUUAGAGACCAAUUUGACAAAAUUUUCAAAUUAAUUAAUAGAGGUAAAUUUGUCAAAAAAAUUUUAAUUUAAUUAAUAGGGGCAAAUUAGUCCAUUUAUUACUACAUUAUUAUGUGAGAGUAUGGUUAUAUAAUAUUCAGUAUAAAUUUGUAUCAUUUGUUAGGGCAAUUUAGUUCAAAUAUUGUUAUGUUUAUAGCGGGGACAAAUAAGUCAAAAAACUUUAAAUUAAUUAGCAAGGGCAAAUUAAUCCAUUCAUGUUAUAUUAUCGUGUGAGGAUAAGGUCAUAUAAUUAUGAGAGUAUAAAUUUAUAUUAUUGAUAAGGAUAAAUUAGUUUAAAAAUUCAUCAUUCUAUCUUUUAGUUAUUCGGAGAUGACUAAUACUACCUCAACCAUGGGAUUAUUUUAUUAAUGUCAUCCUGAGAUAACUAAUAUCACAUUGUCAUAGAAUUAUUUUAUCCCAUAAAUAAGGGAUUAAUUCCAUUAAUUAGAACGUGUCAUCUCAUGUGUAAAAUGCAACCAAAGAUGAGAUGACACAAGAUGAUUAAUCCAAUUCUAUAUCAUCCCAUGAACCAAAUGGACAUUUAGGUUUUAUCCCAUAAUAUAUUUUAAAGUAAUUACAAACAUCUUUAUAAAACCUCUGCAAAUAAGCUCAUAACCUCUAUAAAACCUCAUAAGCUCAAAAUACUAUAUGGUAAUUUCUUUGGGCUUCCUUUUCUUUAAUGCAUUUAGCCACACCUCUUUUCAACUACCUAAUCUUUCUCUCCUAUCCUUUCUUUUUAUGCUCAUGUUCACAUUCAUCAUAUCCAUGAAAACAGGCUUUAACAGUUGAUUUCUUCAGAUAAAGCUCAAGCUUUUUUCUUCUCCAUGUCUUCAGAGACCACCAGAUGAGCUACCAUCAGAAUGUAAAAAAAGAGUUGAUUACGUUGGAGGGCUGCUCAAUUGGAAGAUAUAAAAAAAGAAAAUGGCGUGGAACAUCAGAAUGGCUCAAAAAGAAUAAAUGAAAAGGCAAAAAGAGUUGAUUACGUUGGAGGGCUGUUCAGAGAUUGGUUGGGACAUGUGAAGGGGGAUUUGUUUUUUGACACGGUUCCUAACAUAACCAAUACACUUCAAACAGAAUUAAUAGCUAUUCGACUUGGGUUGGAGCAAUUCUUGCAACAAUUCUUGGAAUUAGAUUUUGAUGAAAAACAGGAAUACACAAGAUUAAUUAUAGAAUGUGAUAACUUUAGAGCUGUAAGGAUUGCCAACCAUGAUCCAGAUGCUGUAAGGAUUACCAAUCAUGGUCCACAUACGAAUGGCAAUGUUCAUAAGCAUGGGCAGAUGUAUCUGAUAUAUUAGGAUGCUUAUGAGUAAGUUUCUCCUCUCUCUUUCAAUGUGAUUCUUUCAUUACUUGUUCCUUUAUUUCUAACCUGUUGUGAAUUGUUGUCGUACAACAACAUUCAUUUUGGCAUUGAAUGGAGCAAGAUUUUGGAAUUGAAUGAAUGUCACUCGUAACCUUAACGUCUUGUUUGCUGUGUAUUGUUGUUGUACAGCGACAUUUUGGCAUUGAAGAAGCGUAUAGGAGAAGAAAUGUGUGUUGAGAUUGAGAUAACACAUUGUAAGCGAGAAGAAAAUAUGGCAGCUCAUCUGGUGGUUUCUAAAGGCGUAAAGGAGAAAAAACUUGAAGCUUAUUUGAAGGAAUCAGUUGUUAAAUUUGCUGAAUUGGAUGAAAAUUAGUAUAAAAAGUAUAAGAAUAAAAAGAAAGCAUGGGAGAAAAGGAUUGGACAGUUAGCGAGAAGUAUAGCUAAAUACAUCGAAAAAGAAGAAGUGCAAAAAAGUUACCACAUAUCAUUUUGAGCUUACGUGUUUAUGGGGGGCUUAAUAGAGGUUUUAAAUUACUACGUACAUACAUUGAAUGGAGCAAAACCUUGGUUCAACCCCCAACAGCUGAAGGAAAUGCUCGAUUUUGAUUUUAUUCUUUUUGUAGGCACUCUUGCUUCAUCACUUUCACUCGAAGCAAGACUGCAGGAAACCAAGAGGUUUGACAAGGUUCUUGCGCUUGUUGGCCACAAAGAUAUAAUUUACCAACAAACCACUUGUUUCCAGAAGAACUUAGAACUCCAACAUCUGGGAUUUCAGCAAGAAGAAAUCUGUCAGCAAAUUCAGACAAUGUAGAAGUGUCAGGCGACCAAGAGAUGAAGGUGUAGCACACCCAAAUGAAUUACUUGACAAUUCCAAUAAGGUCAGGAGAGAUACAUUCCCAAUACUUGAUGGAAUCCCUCCUAGAAGAUUGUUAGCUCUCAAGUAUAGGGCUCUGAGAUCAGAAUGAUUGGGUAAUGGCAUUGGGGAUAAUACAUGCAUUGGUGAAAUGCCAGUCUUUGCAAUCUUACCAAUACUGAUAGAUAUAAUCCCUCUAAGUUGCAUAUAGGAUAAGUUUAUAGACAUGGCACUUUGGUGGAUGACAAGAAAUGCCAGUCCAUCUAAAUGGAGAAUCAUCAGAAGAAUUCCAUUUAAACUAUUAUUUGGCCAUGACUGCAAGUUCUCUAUUCAAGCCAUUUCAGAAAACAAAACGAAUCAAAAGCAAGUGAGAGUUUUGAAAUCUUUUUGAUCAAUAAAACUGAAACAGAAGAUCCAGCAGAUAAAUAUCGAAAAAUAGUAAUCAGAAAAAGCUUGUGGGUCAUCAUUUUCCGAGCUGAGUUAAAUGAAUUUAGCGUUUCAAGAACUUAUUUUCUUUAUAUUGGGUGGUGCAGUAAUUAAAGACGAGAAAGAAGAAUGGUGAAGAUGAUGAGGCCAAGAACAAGUCCGAAGAGAAGGCACAAAAAAUGCAAACAUCACACCAUACAGAAUGCCCAGAAUAGUUUGCCAUCUGCCAUGUUCCUACCAGGAAUGAAGUAAUAGUAGCCUACAGUAUAAUGUUCAUAUUCAAGUUUGUUUGCUAUUUCAUCCAGUUUACAUAGAGACCAUCUUUUCGAAUCACAACUAUCAACUAUGUCAACCAAACCCCCUGUAUAGUCUCUAUUUUGGGUAUCCCUAAAUUCACCUUCAAAGUGUAUGCAAAUAGAAAAACGCAUCUCUUUAGUCCCUGUCAUCUAUUAAAAUGACAAUUACUUUGGGAUCAUGAUAGAAGGGUGGAACCUUUGAUAAAAAAUUAUGGACCACAGCAUAAAUUAAUAAAAUAAUGAACAUUCUCCAAUUAAUUAAAGUAAAACACAGUCUUAAGCAAGAUUUGGCCACGACAAUAUCUUUAUUAAAUACAUUGGUAAAAAAAAACUCAUCAUAAUGCAUUGUGAAUUUCCACUUUCUCGGUUCAUUUUGCAUCUUUUUGAAGAUUUUAUUCAAGAUUUUUAGAUCAAAACUUCAAUCAUUCCUCUAUCAUAUGCCUACACCUUUCUUGUUGUCAUCAUCAUCAAUAAAAUUCUUGAGGUUAUGCUUCUUAGUUAGGGGAUGGAGGGAAUUAGGGUUUCUUGUGAUAGUAAAUUGAGAGGAACGGUGAUAAAAAAGGGUGGUCAUCUCAUGCACUUUUGCUUUAGGAGGGAGUCGAAGUGUGUUUUUCGGUUUUGCCCUUGAAAUUAUGCUCAUGUGAGAGAGACGUGUGAUUUUUAGUUGAAAAAAAUGAGUAAAGACGAGUAUUAGGACUAAACUAGCACGGAAUUUAUAUGCUAGGGACUACUCUGACUAAUUUUAAAUGUUAGAGAUUAAAAAAUUUUUUUUUUUUACAAAUAUUAGAGACCAAUUUGGCAAAAUUUUCAAAUUAAUUAAUAGAGGUAAAUUUGUCAAAAAAAUUUUAAUUUAAUUAAUAGGGGCAAAUUAGUCCAUUUAUUACUACAUUAUUAUGUGAGAGUAUGGUUAUAUAAUAUUCAGUAUAAAUUUGUAUCAUUUGUUAGGGCAAUUUAGUUCAAAUAUUGUUAUGUUUAUAGCGGGGACAAAUAAGUCAAAAAACUUUAAAUUAAUUAGCAAGGGCAAAUUAAUCCAUUCAUGUUAUAUUAUCGUGUGAGGAUAAGGUCAUAUAAUUAUGAGAGUAUAAAUUUAUAUUAUUGAUAAGGAUAAAUUAGUUUAAAAAUUCAUCAUUCUAUCUUUUAGUUAUUCGGAGAUGACUAAUACUACCUCAACCAUGGGAUUAUUUUAUUAAUGUCAUCCUGAGAUAACUAAUAUCACAUUGUCAUAGAAUUAUUUUAUCCCAUAAAUAAGGGAUUAAUUCCAUUAAUUAGAACGUGUCAUCUCAUGUGUAAAAUGCAACCAAAGAUAAGAUGACACAAGAUGAUUAAUCCAAUUCUAUAUCAUCCCAUGAACCAAAUGGACAUUUAGGUUUUAUCCCAUAAUAUAUUUUAAAGUAAUUACAAACAUCUUUAUAAAACCUCUGCAAAUAAGCUCAUAACCUCUAUAAAACCUCAUAAGCUCAAAAUACUAUAUGGUAAUUUCUUUGGGCUUCCUUUUCUUUAAUGCAUUUAGCCACACCUCUUUUCAACUACCUAAUCUUUCUCUCCUAUCCUUUCUUUUUAUGCUCAUGUUCACAUUCAUCAUAUCCAUGAAAAUAGGCUUUAACAGUUGAUUUCUUCAGAUAAAGCUCAAGCUUUUUUCUUCUCCAUGUCUUCAGAGACCACCAGAUGAGCUACCAUAUUUUGAUUUUCCCAGUAAUGUGCUAUCUAAAUCUCAACACACAUUUCCUUUUCUAUACAUAGCUAGUUUCAAUGCCAAAAUGUUGCUAACAGACAUUAAGGUUAAGAGUGAUGUUCAAUGCCAAAAUCUUGUUGUACGACAACAAUACACAACAAGUUAAAGAAGUAAAUGGAGAAUGACAUCAAAAAGGUAAUUUGAUAGGAUAGGGAGAGGAGAAACUUACUUAUAGUCAUGCUGAUAUAGCUCCUCAUGGUGAGCAAUCCUUACAGCUAUGAAGUUAUCACAUUCAAUAAUUAAUCUUCUGAAUUCCUGUUUCCCAUCAAAAUCUAACUCCAUGAAUAGUUUCAUUUUCAAUCGAAUACCUUUUAAUUCUGUUUCAAGUAUAUUUGUCAUUUCAGGAACUGUGUCAAAAAAUAAAUCUCCUUCACAAAUCCCACCUAAUCUCUGAACACCCCCACCAAUGUAACCAACUCUUUUUGCCUCUCCAUUCUGAUGUUCCACACCAUUUUCUUUCUUUAUAUCUUCCAAUUAUCUCUCCAUUCUAGUGUUCCACACCAUUUUUAUGUAACCAACUUUUUUCGUUUCUUCAUUUUGAUGUUCCAUACCAUUUUUUUUCAUCAUACCAGUUGAUUUUUUUCCAUAUCUUUUGAUUCCGUCAAUGAUGCAUCCACAUUGCAUUUCAAAUAUCCCUUCAAGGUGUUGUCACCAUAACACUUGUGGUGAUCCAUUCAAGGGAUUGAUGCAUCUUUUUAUCGGAACAAAUUUUUUUUGUUCAAGUGACAAUACACAAAUCAUGCACCUAUCAUCCCAUCACAUAAUUCAACUCUCUUAUCACAUGGAAUCUUGUGCAUUCACUUACAUCAACCUUCAGUUAAUACAAGCCUUUCCUUACAGCUACAUUCGAUCUUAGUUACAAUAAUUGGGGUGUGUAAUUCGUCAGAUCAGGGAUCCUUUGGCUAAGGAGUUUAGGUUAAAUAAGACAGCACAAACUAAUUUAUACCGUUGACAAGUUAGGUGGAAAGUAUGAAAGUGAAAGAUAGGAAAAAGAACAAGCGAAAUGAAGCAAUUGAAGGGAGUAGAAAUGACCAAGUGACAUCUUGUAUCUUGCGCGUGUAUUUUUGGAUUAAGCAACCUUGUCACAAUUGACAAUUCAAUACUGUUCAAUUCUAGUUAUUGUUGCCCUCUCCACAGAACUACAAUUUUUUGGUUUGCCAAAUGGAUGCCCAAUCACCAAUUUAAAAUCAGUAAUUCAAGAAUGAUUUAACCUAACAAGUUAUCUAACAAAAGAAACAGAAACAGUUUAUAUUACUUUGUGAAAACAUAAGUUUGGUAUCAAAGAAGACAAAAACAAAAAUUCACCUAAGACCAUAAUACUAAAGAGUUGGUCUGUUGUAUAUUACUUUUGAAUUAUCAAAAAUAAGAUAGCAAGAAAUCAUGUCUAUUUAACUACGAUGGUCUCUCAACAAUGAAAAUGAACUUGUUUUGUUUGAUCAUAGAGCAACAAAAAAUUGAUAAAAUAGCAAUGACAUAACCCACAAAUCAGCAAAAUCACCAACUUUUUUUUUGCUUUGAUUAGCAAUGCUCAAAGUGAUCUAGAUUCAUCUAAUGCAUGAACAAUCCUGCUUACCAUAAAUAAUGGAUUUGGAAUACUUAACACUUGAAUAAUUAAGCAAUCAUCUAUUUUUAAAAAAUACAAUCUAUCAUCAUAUGCUAAAGAGAAACUUUACAUCCCAAAAAUCAUAUCAAAGUCACACAUUUAUUAACUGUGUUUAUCCCAGAAAUCAAGUUGGGGGUUGAUAAUUAAAAAAGAGGCACCAGCAUCAACAAAGACAGUUAUUUCAGCACCCACAUGAUGAAAACAAAGUGGCAGUUAGUAUAACAGUAAAAUAAACAGCGCUUUAACAAAAUAGAACUUUCUUAGAGAUUUCCUCAUUUGCUGUCUUUUGGUAGAUACCAUAAAAAAUCAAAGUCGCUUUCACAUGAGUAGCAAGUUAGUAUAAACGUAGCAACGGAUUAAAUUUGUCCAACAAACAGACAAAUUUGGACAAAUUUGUUCUUGGUUGUUGGUUCUGAAUCCUUCCUUACAAAAGUAGCUACAGCACACAAAACGCUUCUCCACAAUUCUUUAGUUUGUACUCUUUGUCCAAGUAUAGAAAGUGCCAUGGAAUGUAACCUGAGAUACUUUUUUUACUAGUUAUGAGCAGAAACUCAGUGGAUUUAGGAAGAAAAAUGGCUAAAUCUAAUAGGUUUAGGAGUUUGUCACCACUGCUUUUCCAACUAUUUUUUAUUGUCUUUUUUCAUUCUUCGCUUUUCUUCUCCUUUGAGGGUUUCUAACCCAAAUUCUAAAUACAUCGUAACUCCCAAGUGAGUAUAAGAGAACCGGAUCCCAUCAUUUAAUGUCCAAAAUGUAGUAUAGAUACAAAAGUCAAGACUGAUAGUUGUUGUAUAAUGUUUUUGAACAAAAAUGAUACAGCAUACAAGGACGUAAUUCGUAGACAAAAAUUCUUGUCGAAAAUAGACUAUCGACUAGGUUGGAUUACAAAAUUUUCACAAGAAACAUCUGAAAAAUUGUCUGCUCACCUAGUUUCUGACCGGCCAAGCCAUCCUAAUGAAUUCAAUAAAUUAUUUCAUCUUAAUUUCCAUAUUCUCAUAAUUUUAACAGCCUACCAUAGCUGCCCUGAAACUUUCCAUGCAAAUCAACAGUGACAAUUAAAGUUUGCAUUCAACCCAAUCUUUAGCUUCAUUUUUUUUUUUACCCAAAUUCAAUGUUUGAAUUGAAUUGACUAAUAUUAAUAUCCAAAUUCAAUCCAAAUGGAGUGCAACCUUGUUGAUGCUAAAGCAAUAUCACCAAUCAAGAAUAUAAAUACGAAACAACCAAAAGCCACACUAGAGAUCACAAUCCAUAUCUCUAGGCAAAUAUGAUUGGAAUUUUUAUAUUUCAAAAUUCUUUUUUACACAAUUUGUAUAAUACCGCAACCUUCCUCGGUCCAUGUGCCCUUUUUAGCAAUCACUUUUAUUUUAUUUUAUAUACUCUGUAUCACCGUUAUUUUUUCACCCACAUUUAGUUUGACAAUAAAUGCGAUCCGACAACUUGUCAUUUUACAAUUUCAAUUCAAUAAUACUUAUUAAAAAGGAAAAAUAAAAAGUGAGAAGAUCUAUUUGCAAAAAAAUAGUGGAUUAUGAAAUGUAGGAGAAAGAAAGUAGUUAAAAUAGUUCGAAAGAUAGAAUAAGAAUUUAUUUUAUGUUGGAACCGUUGUUUUAAAAUGAAAGACUAGUUGUUUUAAAAUGAAAUAAUGGAUUUGGAAUACUUAACACUUGAAUAAUUAAACAAUUAUCUUUUUUUAGAAAAUACAAUCCAUCAUUAUAUGCUAAAGAGAAACUUUACAUCCCAAUAAUCAUAUCAAAGUCACAUAUUUAUUAAGCGUGUGUUGGGAGGACCAUAUAUAAUGCAACCAAUCAAGAAUAUAAACACGAAACAACCAAAAGCCACACUAGAGAUCACAUUCCAUAUCUCUAGGCAAAUAUGAUUGCAAUUUUUAUAUUCCAAAAUUUUUUUUACACAAUUUGUAUAAUACCACAACCUUCCUCAGUCCAUGUUCCCUUUUUAGCUAUCACUUUUAUUUUAUUUUAUGUACUGUGUAUCACCGUUAUUUUUUCACCCACAUUUAGUUUGACAAUAAAUAUGGUCCGACAACUUGUCAUUUUGCAAUUUUAAUUCAAUAAUACUUAUUAAAAAAGGAAAAACAAAAAGGGAGAAGAUCUAUUUGCAAAAAAAUAGUGGAUUAUGAAAUGUAAGAGAAAGAAAGUAGUUAAAAUAGUUUGAAAGAUAGAAUAAGAAUUUAUUUUAUGUUGCAACCGUUGUUUUAAAAUGAAAUAACGGAUUUGGAAUACUUAACACUUGAAUAAUUGAACAAUCAUCUUUUUUUAGAAAAUACAAUCCAUCAUUAUAAGCUAAAGAAAAACUUUACAUCCCAAAAAUCAUAUCAAAGUCACACAUUUAUUAAGCGUGUGUUGAGAGGACCAUACAUAAUGCCAAGUCUUAUCAUAUAGGACAAGUGCAGAUGAGUGAAAACUCAAUCAAACUCUGGUUUUAACUUUUGUCAAGUCAACAUAAAAUGGAAAAAAAAAGAGAGCUUUUUGAACAGGUCUUAAUUUCAAAGAAACAAAGAAAUUCAAACAAUAAUCCAGUUCCUAUAUGUGAUUUUAGAUCCUAUAAUCAAGAUGUCUUGGUCACUUCUAUGUCAUUUUGAGGUUAAUAGCAUAGAAAAUCUUCAACAGUCGAGAAAAUAUGAUUUCCCCAGUAAUGUGCUAUCUAAAUCUUAACACACGUCUCCUUUUCAUACACAGCUAGCUUCAAUGCCAAAAUGUUAUUAACAGACAUUAAGGUUAAGAGUGACGUUCAAUGUCAAAAUUUUGCUGUACAACAACAAUACACAACAAGUUAAAAAAGUAAAUGGAGAAUGACAUCAAAAAAGGAAUUUAUAGGAUAGGGAGAGGAGAAACUUACUCAUAGUCAUGCUGAUACAGCUACUCAUGGUGAGCAAUCCUUACAGCUAUGAAGUUAUCACAUUCGAUAAUUAAUCUUCUGAAUUCCUGUUCCCAUCAAAAUCUAAAUCCAUGAAUAGUUCCAUUUUCAGUCGAAUACCUUUUAAUUUUGUUUCAAUUAUAUUUGUCAUUUCAGGAACUGUGUCAAAAAAUAAAUCUCCUUCACAAGUCUCACCUAAUCUCUGAACACCCCUCCAAUGUAACCAACUCCUUUUGCCUCUCCAUUCUCUGAACACUCCCUCCAAUGUAACAAACUCUUUUUGCCUCUCCAUUCUGAUGUUCCACACCAUUUUCUUUCUUCAUAUCUUCCAAUUAUCUCUCCAGUCUAGUGUUCCACACCAUUUUCAUGUAACCAACUCUUUUCGUCUCUUCAUUUUGAUGUUCCAUACCAUUUUUUUUCUUCAUAAUAGUUGAUCUUUUUCCAUAUCUUUUGCUUCCGUCAAUGAUGGAUCCACAUUGCAUUUCAAACAUCCCUCUAAGGUGUUGUCACCAUAACACUUAUGGUGAUCCAUUCAAGGGAUUGAUGCAUCUUUUCAUCGGAACAAAAUUUUUUUGUUCAAGUGACAAUAUACAAAUAUGCACCUAUCAUCCAAUCACAUAAUUCAACUCUUUUAGCACAUGGAAUCUUGUGCAUUCACUUAUCAUAUGCUAAAGAGAAACUUUACACCCCAAAAAUCAUAUCAAAGUCACACAUUUAUUAAACUUGUUUAUCCCAAAAAUCAAGUUGGGGGUUGAUAAUUAAAAAACAGGCAUCAGCAUCAACAAGGACAGUUAUUUCAGCACCCAUACGAUGAAAACAAAGUGACGGGAAACAUCUAAAAACUUGCCUAGUUCCUGACUGGUCAUUCCAUCCUAACGAAUUCAAUAAAUCAUUUCACCUUAAUUUUUAUAUUCUCAGUAGUUUAAUAGACCACCAUUGCUGCCCCGAAACUUUCCAUGCAAAUCAACAGUGACAAUUAAAGUUUGCAUUCAAUCUAAUCUUUAGCUUCAUUUUUUUUUACAUAAAUUAAAUGUUUGAAUUGACUAAUAUUAUUAUCCAAAUUCAAUUUAAAUGGAGUGCAACCUUGUUAAUGCUAAAGUAAUCUAACCCAUCAUGAAUAUCAACACGAAACAACCAAAAGCAAUACUAGAGAUUACAUCCCAUAUCUCUAGGCAAAUAUUAUUGCAGUUUUUAUAUCCUAAAAUUCUUUUUGACACAAUUGGUAUAAUAUCGUAGCCUUCCUCAAUCCAUAUUCUCUUUUUAGCUAUCGCUUUUAUUUUCUUGUAUAUACUUUGUAUCACAGUCAUUUUUUCAUCUUCAUUUAGUUUGACAACAAAUAUGAUCCGACAACUUGAUAUUUUGUAAUUUCAAUUCAAUAGUACUUAUAAAAAAAAAGAAAAACAAAAAAAGGAGAAGAUCUAUUUGUAGAAAAAUAGGGGAUUAUGAAAUGUAGGUGAAAGAAACUAGUUAAAAUAGUUCGAAAGAUAGAACAAGAGUUUAUUUUAUGUUGCAACCGUUGUUUUAAAAUGAAAAAAUAAUGGAUUUGGAAUACUUAACACUUGAAUAAUUAAACAAUCAUCUUUUUUUAUAAAAUACAACUUGUCAUUAUAUGCUAAAGAGAAACUUUGCAUCCCAAAAACCGUAUCAACGUCACACAUUUAUUAAGUGUGUGUUGAGAGGACCAUAUAUAAUGCAACCAAUCAAGAAUAUAAACACGAAAAAAUCAAAAGCAACAUUAGAGAACACAUUUCAUAUCUAUAGGCAAAUAAGAUUGCAAUUUUUACAUUUCAAGAUUCUUUUUUACACAAUUUGUAUAAUACCGCAACCUUCCUCAGUCCAUAUUCCCUUUUUAGCUAUCACGUUUAUUUUAUUUUAUGUACUAUGUAUCACCGUCAUUUUUUUCACCUUUAUUUAGUUUGACAAUAAAUAUGAUCCGACAACUUGAUAUUUUGCAAUUUCAAUUCAAUAAUACUUAUAAAAAAAAGAAAAACAAAAAAAGGAGAAAAUCUAUUUGUAGAAAAAUAAUGGAUUAUGAAAUGCAGGUGAAAGAAAAUAGUUAAAAUAGUUCGAAAGAUAGAAUAAGAGUUUAUUUUAUGUUGCAACCGUUUUUUUAAAAUGAAAUACUAGUUGUUUUGAAAUGAAAUAAUGGAUUUGGAAUACUUAACACUUGACUAAUUAAACAACUAUCUUUUUUUAUAAAAUACAAUUCGACAUUAUAUGCUAUAGAGAAUCUUUACAUCCGAAAAACCAUAUCAACGUCACACAUUUAUUAAGCAUGUGUUGAAAUGACCAUAUAUAAUGCCCAGUCUUAUCGUAUAGGACAAGUGCAGAUGAGUGAAAACUCAAUCAAACUCUGGUUUUAACUUUUGUCAAGUCAACAUAAAAUGGAAAAAAAGAGAGCUUUUUGAACAUGUCUUAAUUUCAAAGAAACAAAGAAAUUAAAACAGUGAUCCAGUUCCUAUAUGUGAUUAUAGACCUUAUAUUCAAGAUGUCUUGGUCACUUCUAUGUCAUUUUGAGGUUAAUAGCAUAGAAAACCUUCAACAGUCGAGAAAAUAUGAUUUCCCCAGUAAUGUGCUAUCUAAAUCUCAACACACAUAUCUUUUUCUAUACACAGCUAGCUUUAAUGCCAAAAUGUUGCUAACAGACAUUAAGGUUAAGAGUGACGUUCAGUGCCAAAAUCUUGCUGUACUACAACAAUACACAACAAGUUAAAAAAGUAAAUGGAGAAUGACAUCAAAAAGGUAAUUGAUAGGAUAGGGAGAGGAGAAACUUACUCAUAGUCAUGCUGAUACAGCUACUCAUGGUGAGCAAUCCUUACAGCUAUGAAGUUAUCACAUUCGAUAAUUAAUCUUCUGAAUUCCUGUUUCCCAUCAAAAUCUAACUCCAUGAAUAGUUCCAUUUUCAGUCGAAUACCUUUUAAUUCUGUUUCAAGUAUAUUUGUCAUUUCAGGAACUGUGUCAAAAAACAAAUCUCCUUCACAAGUCCCACUUAAUCUCUGAACACCCCUUCAAUGUAACCAACUCCUUUUGCCUCUCCAUUCUCUGAACACCCCCUCCAAUGUAACCAACUCUUUUUGCCUCUCCAAUCUGAUGUUCCACACCAUUUUCUUUCUUCAUAUCUUCCAAUUAUCUCUUCAUUCUAGUGUUCCACACCAUUUUUAUGUAACCAACUCUUUACGUCUCUUCAUUUUGAUGUUCCAUACCAUUUUUUUUCUUCAUAACAGUUGAUCUUUUUCCAUAUCUUUUGCCUCCGUCAAUGAUACAUCCACAUUGCAUUUCAAACAUCCCUUUAACGUGUUGUCACCAUAACACUUGUGGUGAUCCAUUCUAGGGAUUGAUGCAUAUUUUUAUCGGAACAAAAUUUUUUUGUUCAAGUGACAAUACACAAAUAUGCACCGAUCAUCCCAUCACAUAAUUCAAAUUUUUUAGCACAUGGAAUCUUGUGCAUUCACUUACACCAACCAUCAGUUAAUACAAGCCUUUCCUCACAGCCACAUUCGAUCCUAGUUACAACAAUUGGGGUGUGUAAUUGGUCAGAUCAGGUAUCCUUUGGCUAAGAAGUUUAGGUUAAAUAAGAUAGCACAAACUAAUUUAUACCGUUGACAAGUUAGGUGGAAAGUAUGAAAGAGGAAGAUAGGAAAAAUAGCAAGCGAAAUGAAGCAAUUGAAGGGACUAGAAAUGGCCAAGUGACAUCUUGUAUCUUGUGCGUGUAUCUUUGGAUUAAGCAACCUUGUCACAAUUGAUAAUUCAAUAUUGUUCAAUUCUAGUUAUUGUUGUCCUCUCCACCGAACUUCAAUUUUUUGGUUUGCCAAGUGGAUGCCCAAUCAUCAAUUUAAGAUCAGUAAUUCAAGAAUGAUUUAACCUAACAAGUUGUCUAACAAAAGAAACAUAAACAGUUUAUCUUACUUUGUGAAAACAUAAGCUUGGUAUCAAAGAAGACAAAAACAAAAAUUCACCUAAGAACAUAAUACUAAAGAGUUGGUCUGUUGUAAAUUACUUUUGAAUUAUCAAAAAUAAGAUAGCAAGAAAUCAUGUCUAUUUAACUAAGAUGAUCUCUCAACAAUGAAAAUGAACUUGUUUUGUUUGAUCAUAGAGCAACAGAAAAUUGAUAAAAUAGCAAUGACAUAACCCACAAAUCAGCAAAACCAUCAACUUUUUUUUGCUUUGAUUAGCAAUGCUUAAAGUGAUCUAGAUUCAUCUAAUGCAUGAACAGUCCUGUCUACCAUAAAUAAUGGAUUUGGAAUGCUUAACACUUGAAUAAUUAAACAAUCAUCUUUUUUUAGAAAAUACAAUCCGUCAUCAUAUGCUAAAGAGAAACUUUACACCCCAAAACUCAUAUCAAAGUCACACAUUUAUUAAACGUGUUUAUCUCAAAAAUCAAGUUAGGGGUUGAUAAUUAAAAAACAGGCAUCAGCAUCAACAAAGACAGUUAUUUCAGCACCCAUACGAUAAAAACAAAGUGACAGGAAACAUUUAAAAAAUUGUCUGCUCGCCUUGUUCCUGACCGGUCAUUCUAUCCUAACAAAUUCAAUAAAUCAUUUCACCUUAAUUCCUAUAUUUUCAGAAUUUUAAUAGCCUACCAUUGCUGCCUCGAAACUUUCCAUGCAAAUCAACAGUGACAAUUAAAGUUUGCUUUCAACCUAAUCUUUAGCUUCAUUUUUUUUUUUACAUAAAUUCAAUGUUUGAAUUUACUAAUAUUAUUAUCCAAAUGAAGUGCAACCUUGUUGAUGCUAAAAUAAUCUAACCCAUCAUGAAUAUCAACACGAAACAACCAAAAGCAACACUAGAGAUCACAUCCCAUAUCUCUAGGCAAAUAUUAUUGCAGUUUUUAUAUUCCAAAAUUCUUUUUUACACAAUUGGUAUAAUAUCGUAGCCUUCCUCAAUCCAUAUUCCCUUUUUAGCUAUCACUUUUAUUUUCUUGUAUGUACUUUGUAUCACCGUCAUUUUUUUCACCUUUAUUUAGUUUGACAAUAAAUAUGAUCCAGCAACUUGUUAUUUUGCAAUUUCAAUUCAAUAAUACUUAUAAAAAAAAAAAAGAAAAACUAAAAAGGAAGAAGAUCUAUUUGUAGAAAAAUAGUGGAUUAUGAAAUGCAGGAGAAAGAAAGUAUUUAAAAGAGUUCAAAAGAUAGAAUAAGAGUUUAUUUUAUGUUGCAACUGUUGUUUUAAAAUGAAAUACUAGUUGUAAUCGUAGGAUUUUUUUUAAUUUUUUGGUUUGCUAGAUGGAUGUCCAAUCACUAAUUUAUUGGAAUUGUUGCCUUGUCCACAAAACUUUAAUUUUUUGGUUUGGCUUGUCCACAAAAUUUUAUUUUUUUUGGUUUGCCAAAUGGAUGUCCAAUCACCAAUUUUAGAUCAGUAAUUCAAGAAUGAUUUAACCUAACAAGUUGUCUAACAAUUGAAACAAAAACAUUUUAUCUUACUUUGUAAAAACAUAAGCUUGGUAUCAAAGAAGACGAAAACAAAAUUUCACCUAAGAACAUAAUACUAAAGAGUUUGUCUGUUGUGAAUUGCUUUUUAAUUAUCAGAAAUAAGAUAUCAAGAAAUCAUGUCUAUUUAACUAAGAUGGUCUCUCAACAAUGAAAAUGAACUUGUUUUGUUGAUCAUAGAGCAACAGAAAAUUGCUAAAAUAGCAAUGACAUAACCCACAAAUCAGCAAAAUCACCAAUCUUUUUUUUGCUUUGAUUAUCAAUGCUCAAACUGAUCUAGAUUCAUCUAAUGCAUGAACAGUCUUGUCUACCAUAAAUAAUGGAUUUGGAAUAUUUAACACUUGAAUAAUUAAACAAUCAUCUUUUUUUAGAAAAUACAACCCGUCAUUAUAUGCUAAAGAGAAACUUUACAUCUCAAAAAUCAUAUCAAAGUCACACAUUUAUUAAGCGUGUUUAUCCCGAAAAUCAAGUUGGGGGUUGAUAAUUAAAAAAUAGGCAUCAGUAUCAACAAAUAUAGUUAUUUCAGCACCCAUAGGAUGAAAACAAAGUGGCAGUUAGUAUAGCAAUAAAGUAAAUAGCCCUUUAACAAAACAAAACUAUCUUAGAGAUUUCCUCAUUUGGUGUCUUUAUGUAGAUACCAUAAAAAAUCAAGGUCUCUUUCACAUAAGCAGCAAGUUAGUAUAAACGUAGCAACGGAUUAAAUUUGUCCAACAAACAGAAAAAUUUGUUCCUGGUUGUUGGUUCUAAGUCCUUCCUCACAAAAGUAGUUGCAGCACACAUAGCAUUUCUUAACAAUUCUUUAGUUUGUGCUCUUUUUCCAAGUAUAGAAAGCGCCAUGGAAUGUAAGCUAAGAUUUUUUUUUUACUACUUAUGAGUAGAAACUCAGCGGAUUUAGGAAGAAAAAUGGCUAAAUCAAGUGGGUUUAGGAGCUUGCCGCCACUGCUUCUCCAACUAUUUUUUAUUGUCUUUUUUCCUUCUUCUUUCUUCUUCUCCUUUGAGGGUUUCUAACCCAAAUUCUAAAUACACCGUAUCCCCCAAGUGAGUAUAAGAGGACCAGAUCCCAUCUCAUGUCCAAAACGUAGUAUAGAUACAAAUGUGCUGAUUGAUAGUUGUUGUAUAAUGUUUUUGAACAAUACAACAUACAAGGACGUGAUGCGUACACAAAAAUUCUUGUCGAAAAUAAACUAUCGACUAGGUUGGAUUACAAAAUUUUCACAGGGAAUAUCUGAAAAAUUGUCUGCUCGCCUAGUUCCUGACCUGCCAUUCCAUCCUAACGAAUUCAAUAAAUCACUUCACCUUAAUUCCCAUAUUCUCACAAUUUUAACAGCCUACCAUUGCUGCCCCGAAACUUUCCAUACAAAUCAACAGUGACAAUUAAAGUUUGCAUUCAACCUAAUCUUUAGCUUCAUUUUUUUUUUGCCUAAGUUCAAUGUUUGAAUUGACUAAUAUUACUAUCCAUAUUCAAUCCAAAUGGGGCGCAACCUUGUUGAUGCUAAAGUAAUCUAACCUAUCAAGAAUAUCAAAACGAAACAACCAAAAGCAACACUAGAGAUCACAUUCCAUAUCUCUAGGCAAAUAUGAUUGCAGUUUUUAUAUUCCAAAAUUCUUUUUUACACAAUUGGUAUAAUACUGCAACCUUCCUCAAUCCAUGUUUCCUUUUUAGCUAUCACUUUUAUUUUCUUGUAUGUACUCUGUAUCACCAUCAUUUUUUUCACCUUCAUUUAGUUUGACAAUAAAUAUGAUUCGGCAACUUGUCAUUUUGUAAUUUCAAUUCAAUAAUACUUAUAGAAAAAAGAAAAAUAAUAAAAGGGAGAAGAUCUAUUUGCAGGAAAAUAGUGGAUUAUAAAAUGUAGGAGAAAGAAAGUAGUUAAAAGAGUUCAAAAGAUAGAAUAAGAAUUUAUUUUAUAUUGCAACCGUUGUUUUAAAAUGAAAGACUAGUUGUAAUCGUAGGAUUUUCUUUUUGUUUGUAGAAAUUAUUUAUAAGUGAAGGAUAUUAUAAUCAUUUUACUACAUUUCUGAAAUUAUCCCAUGUUUUUUAGAUGGUUUGAAAGGGUCGUAAAUCUAAACCUGAACCUUUAGUUACGGUUAUGUUCUCGAUUUUGAUUUUCAAAAUUCAGUCCUGGUUUAAGUUCAAUAAAUCAUUGGGGCCGAUCUCGAUCCGAUUUCAAAUCAAACCUGAACUGUGGUCAUUUCUAUAUGUAACUAGCGAAAUUUUUAAAAAAAUCUAUAGAAUCAAUGCUCUUCAAAAUUGAAUCAUUAAAACAAAUACUAUUUUAUGUCCUGACAAAAUGGAAAAAUUGUAUGCACUGAAAUGAUCCAAAAAAAAAAGAAGAAAUGAAAGAGAAAGAAUGUGGCUAAUAUUUUGUUUGACAUUUUAGCAUCUUUACCAUAAAUUUUCAAGGUGUAAUUUUGAAAAGUGUUACCGAUAGUGGAUAAACCAAGAAAAAUUUAAAACUAUAAAAGGUAGGAACACAUAAAGUUAUUGCAGAUUGCUUCCUUUGUGAAAGAAGAGUACCAUUUGUCCCUUUGUUGUUGUGAAGGUCAAAUGACAGAAUAUAAAAAUAACGUUACACAAUGCAGGUGCUCACGCUGAUGAAUAGUAUAGUUACAGGUGUGAUGAUUGAUAGUUGUAUAAUUAUAAUUUUGAGCAAAAAUGAUACAGCAUACAAGGACGUCGUAGAAAAAAAUCUCGUCGAAAAUCGACUAGGUUGGAUUACAAAAUUUUCACAGGAAACACCUAAAAAAUGGUCUGCUCGCCUAGUUCCUGACCGGCCAUUCCUUCUCUGAGGACCUUGUCAAAGAAUUCUUCCAAGGUGUCCUUUCCAUAACUUGGUGUUUUCUCAGCACUGUAUUCUCCAGUUUCAGGAUCCCUCACCAGCAUGCUUUCAGCGGCAUAGUACCGACCGAUCUUCCCAAACUCAGCUGCAUCUUCCAGCGAAGGAAAUAUUUUGACGAGGAAAUCAAGAACACCAAUGGCAAAGUCCAUUAUCUCAAUUGGCACUUUCAGGAACUUGGGCUCUUUCCCUAACAGUCUGAACAAAAUCUGCCCCUGCUCCAGCGGCGUCAAAGCCUUCCCAGGUCCUCCAAUUGGCAGAAUCUGAUUAAUCUUGUUCUCGCUCAAUACGCAAUCCGCAAUGAAUGAGGCCAAAUCAGGCUCGCUGAUUGGCUUGCAAGCACACAACUUUCCAUCCCCAAACAUCACAUACGGCUUUCCAUCUUUCACCAAAUCAACCUGUCCUCCAAGGCUCUUGAAGAAUGCUGUUGGUCUUACAAUACUAUAGGUAAAUCCAGCAUCCUGUUCUGCUUCUUUCAUUAAUUCAGCUUCAAAUUUCAGCUUUGCUCUUUGAAAUUCAAGGAGGGGUUUUUGCACGCAGAUUGCAGAUAGCAAAACAAAAUGUGAAGCCCCAAAUUUCCUGCCAGCAACAAGACUAUUCUUUGUGGCUUCAUAAUCAAUCUUCCACGAGUCCUUCACGCCACCGUUUCGACUAGCAAGGCAAGACACAACAACAUCAACUGAAGCCACUCUUUCUGCUAAACUCUUCUCCAAAACAUCCAACUGAGUUACGUCUGAGUAGCAUACGUUAGCUCCAUUUAACAUUUCCGAGGUCUUAUCUUUAUCAUUCCGACCUCUAAUGCCACUUCUUUCCCUAGCAAUGGCGAUGACAUUGAAGCCUCUUUUGACAAACUCUUUAACUACAAAAUUCCCAAUGUAGCCAGUUGAACCCACAACCAGAACACUAAUAUCUUCUGGGUUUUUGCUCCUGAAUGAAGUUUUGGAACUUUCAACGGUUGGUGUAGCUGAAGCUGAUAUCAGAUGACAUCUUUCUUUACCAAAUUUAAAGUGUCCUGAUAAAUGUAAAGAAGGAGAAUAAGGGGCUGGUCUUACCUGAAUACGAUUGAUAAAAUUAGAAGAAAUGAGUCUGCUGAAGCUUUCUGCUUUUGGCGAGUGCAGUGCGAGUCCAUUAUAAGCUGCACAAAUGGACAUUUUACUUGGGAAUUCUCAAAAUGCCCAAAAUGGCUCGUGGUUUUGCUAAAGCAUUAUUCUUGAAAUAAGGGAAAUUGGAAAAGAAAGAAAAUUUUCCUUAAAAAAAAAAAAGAAAAGAAAGAAAUUUUGAGGUUGAAGAUGGCAAGGUGGCUAUGUUUGAGUUCGUCUGUUAUCCUCGGAGAAUCCAACUGAUUGGUUCAUAUUGCUGGGAAGUGCGUGGAAAUCUUUGAAUUUUUAUUUUUAUUUUUUUUGUUAACUCCCCCAUUCCUUCUUAAGGCCCAUUCCUUUCACACUAGUAGCAUAGAUACUCUAUCCACAAAAUAAGUAAAGCCCAGGACUAGUAACUUGUAAGCUUCAACUCAUUUACAUGGGCCGAAGAGAUUGUCCAGCUCAUUUCAGGAUACGAGGUGCGUUGUCAUCAAAAUCAGUCUCAAUUGUACGAAAUACUUCGAAGUGAUGUCUCUCUAUAUGCAGAAUUCAAAUGGAUAGGACGGAGGCAUCGGGCAAUCAAACUGUGUCAUGAGCAUAUCUAAGUUUGUUCGUAAAUGUUUAAAAUUUUGGUGUGCAAGUGUGACCAAGUCUUGAUUAUGUAUUGUCUCAGACAUUGUCAAGAUACGAUUUUCUAGUUCCAUGUUAUACGACUAAGGCGAAAAUUUGAGCAUAAGAGGAAGAUUUGGGUCCCCUUUGCAUCAGUCUCAACUAUAAUCAAGAAGUUAGGCAGCCAUAAUUAUUAACAAAGUAUACGUGCUUAUUUCUGGGAAAUGACUAUGAGCAUGUAGUAGACCAAGAAAAAGAGAGAGAGACAAGAAUUUGGCAUGUAAUUGAGACAAGAGAUAUGGUACAAUGACUAGAAUGAAGUUCAUAUAAAAGCACAGAUCCAUUGAAUCAAACAAAAAAUGGAUGGACUCAUAAACCAUCAAGGCUGGAAGCCAACAAAUUAAGCAAUCAUUAUUGACUUAGCAAAGGUGUGAUCUUUACAUGAGUGGGGGGUGAGCAAUGCACUAUAACGAUGUUAGAGUGGGGGGUGAAUUCUAAAGUAUAACAAAAAAAUAUCCGAAAAUAAAUUGUUAGCGUUAUAACAUGCACAAUUCUUCAAAAAUAUCAAGAAAACUUCUACUUGUGCUCGAUGUGUAGUUUCAAUUUUUAUUAGCUAUAUGUUUUAAUAAUGGAAGAUUUUAUGACAACUUCAAAGCAAAAUUUCACACAUUUUUUGUAUAAAAAGAAAAGAUCUUCAACCACUAGCUACUAGGUAGUAAUCCAGUCAUUAUUGUUCUAAUCGAUAUCAAAUGUGAUUUUAUCAAGCUGAAUUCGAUUUAGAUCAGUAUAAUAUUAAAUCGAUUUUAAUGCAUAUGAUUAUUAGACCAACUAAUAAAUUCCACGAAAUUAAAUCACAUGUACCAUCAAGCGUGAACUAAGUUAAUUGGUAUCCAACCCUCCAUGAUGCCACUAAGUAGGCCAUCAAAAACGGUGGAAUUGUUAGUCAAGCAAAUAAAAAUAUUGCAUUCAAAUGCACAAAGAAAAAGGUGCACAGACCAUAAACAUUACUACUACUGUAGCAGAGUGAUAAAUAUACUGUCAGCCUUUUCAGUAUUGAAGACUAUCGAAUAUAAUUAUACACACUAGGACUCCGUAUUAGCAUCAAAGCAGGCUCUGAAGGUUCAGUUUGUUGUUUAGAUCUUCUUAGCACUCACCAUCUUUCUUUGAAAACAAAAGAUCCUUCACCCCAUCCCUUCCCCACCACCUCUUGGCCGGACCCCAAUUUAUGCCGGCUACCAUGAUGUCACUUUCCGGUAAUCCACCCAUUACUUGACUCUAAUCGCCAACUUCUUCCCAUAAAGGUUAGAAUUUUAGCUCUUAUCAACCUCAAAAUCAAUAUUUGAGCAUCUGGGCUCUUCUUGAAUUGGCUUAUCUUGUUUUCCUGCUAAGAUUCUUGAAAUAUUUCAGCAAGUGCAUAUAUGCAUGAAUGAUGUGUGCGAGUCUCUGUGUUUAACUGUUUAUUGUGUUGAGCUGUGUGAAGUAAUUUUGUGAGUCAAGUUAUGGAGACCCUUUUGAAUUUGCAAGUUAAUGAAUUCGUGAGUUUUCUGUGAUCUGAAUGUUGGCAUGCAUUAGAUUAAAGACGGUGUAAUCGAGGUGGGAUUUAAAUAUAUUUUAAAAGGGUUUUCUUUAAAUAAUGGUGUUAUGAAUCUUUGCAGUUAAUACAAUGUCGGGGUUGAGUUGAAUUCAAUUAAAUGUGGUGGUUGGUUAAUUGCAAAGUGGAGAUUGAUUAAUGACUUCAAUUACUUAGGUAUCAAAUAAUCCUCUACUCUAUCUACAUUUAUCCUUUUUGAGUUGAUUUUCUUUCUUUCUCUUGAUUAGUUUUCAGACUUUCAUCUUUUGAUUUCAGUUUGGAGCAUUGACGUUUAGGUAUCAUGUAAUUGUACAUGUCAUACUAUCAAUUUGGUUUGUGAAGUGUGUGAUUUGUCAGAUUGUCAUACCUCUGGAUUGAACGCAUUGUUAUGCAGUUGGAGAUGUGAAGUUCAAAUCUUUCUUAUUUUUUCUUCUUUAACCCCGACCAUACUUUCACUAGUUGCUUGUGUUUUGGUACCUCAAAUUAUUAUAUUAAUUGCCUUCCAUUCUAUCUGUCAUGUCAAAAGAUCUCAACUUUCCAGAAUAUUUGAUGAUUUCUAUUCCUGAUGUCUAUGAAUUCAAGAAUUGCAUGCUAUAUUCAUUCCUAUUAAUUGAAUGUCAUUCCUCUGUAGAUUCUGCUUUCAGUAGUCGUGUACCAGAGGGAUGUAUAAGAAUCAACUGCAGGAAUUUGCUCAGCGAAGCUGCAUUAACUUGCCAUCAUACUCCAGCAUACGGGAAGGACCGGACCACGCCCCCCGGUUCAAAGCCAAGGUGAACUGCAACGGAGAGAUUUUUGAGAGCCCAAAAUUCUGUUGUACUUUGAGACAAGCUGAACAUGCAGCAGCUGAGGUUGCACUAAAAAUGCUGUCACAAAGAGGCCCAUCAAGAGCUGUAGCUGCAAAAGUUCUGGUAUUUCACAACUUUGUGAUCAUUUCCACCCUUCAUGUCUAUCUUUGUUGUGUUGAGAAUGUCUUGGCCAUGCAUUUGUGCCAUAUAGCAAAUAGCUGUGUUGGAUUGAAAAUAGAACUUUUUAUGUUACCAUAUAUAAAUCUCUCUGAUCUUAUGUUCUGUUAAGUCAUGGAUAUGCACAAUGUUGACAGUUGAGCAUAUGUAUCAUAUUUACUUAUCUGCAUUAUUGAAUCUCACUCAAAUUCACGGACUAUUGUUUUAAUUAGUAAAAAUCCAAUAAUUUGUUAUAGUGACACUCUGUAGUGCACAUAAAAUACAUGGUAGGCAUAAGUAUGUUAACAAAUUGUCUGUUUCAUAUUCCUUUUUAUGUUGUUCAGUGACUAUAAACCUCCACUUAGAUGUAGCUCGCAGAAAUUAAUAGUUGUGGAUACACUUUUUCCAUAAGAUUUGUGAAUAUUUUGCUAAUUAAAUCUUCUGUCAGUCUCUCUUUUUAUUUAUUUUCUGGUAGAAUAUGUGUUUGUGUGUGUGUCAAAAAACUUGUUUUAUGAGUAUGUCAAAUUUUGUGAGUCCUAUCUUAUGACUGAAUGAGUUUAAGUUUGGUAUAAAGAAAUUCCUGUAAUGUUGUACUUGAAUGAUAACGGUCUCUGUUUUGACCUGUAAUUUGGCUGAUUUCUAGACUUGUGAUAUAAUGAUUUCUUGAGUCUGUUUUGUUAUUUUUCGGUGUACUUAUUCCAACCUCAUGAGAUAUGUAAGUCUUCUCAAUACCCAAAAUGAAAGCUUUAACUGCAGUAUAUAUGAUCUGUUCUGUAAUUUGUGUUUGGAUUCAAUGAUGCAUGUAUUGACUGUGUGCCAUUUUGGUUUUCAACCCAAUGCAGGAUGAAACUGGUGUUUACAAGAAUUUACUUCAGGAAACAGCUCAUAGAGCAGGAAUGAAGCUUCCAGUCUAUACUACUGUCCGGACUGGACCAGGAUAUGCUCCUGUAUUUACCUGCACAGUUGAACUUUCUGGGAUGAGUUUUUCUGGGGAGCCAGCCAAAACCAAAAAACAAGCUCAAAAGAGUGCCGCAAUGGCUGCUUGGUUUUCCUUGAAAGAGAGUAUGUAUCAGCUCUUGGUCUUACAAGUAGUACAAUAUUAUAUGUUAACUCUGCAAAUAUUUUUGAAUUCUGGUUCUCUCAGCCCAAAAAUGAUUAAAAAAAAAAUCAGAACUUUUGAUGGAGAAAAUUACUCUUAAGUGCAAGGCUGACAAAUUAUCCUUGGAGUAUUUAAUCUUGUGCUGUCAUGUUUGGGUGGUUUCAAUUUCAUUUGAGUGUUUAGGUUUAGCUUUAGCUUCCCUUUUUAUCUAUUAGCUGCUGAUCUUUUCAGCAAAGACAUUCAUAACCUCAUGACUCUUGCCUUCACUGAACUUCGAGAUGUCUUUUGUAGUGUCACACAUAUGCUCUUCCUCCUACCACUUAUCAGAUCUUGGCAGAAAGGAUGAGCAAGAACAAGUAAUUGUUGCUCGUUAUCUUUCUAGUUUAAGGUUACCAGAAAUGAGCAUAUCCGGACAGGGAGAAAAGGGCAAACUACGGAAAGAAAUAUUUCGAGUUAAAGGGAAUGUAAUUCCAUGUGGUGUUGGCAGUCCAUCCUUCAGAAUGAAGCAUCAGAAUUCCACCUAUUCUUAUCUUCCCCCAGAGUGGUUCUUGUACGAGACCUGCCAUCGAGGAGUUCCUCAGCAGAGUCACUUCUUGGCUCUUCCUUCUACUUCUACUUCUAUCCCAAGACCCAGAUUUUUUCCAUUCAUUCAAUCUAUGAUGCUUAGGCCAGAUAUUGGUUCAAUCUUUUGGGCAAGGGAACAAGAACCUAUUGCUGCUGUACCAGAACCUAGGCCUCUUUUCUAUUUGUCCAACAAUUUGUUGCCAGUUCCAGAUAGGAAUGAUUCCCGUGUUACCAUAGAAGAGAUAGAAGAAAACAGCCCAAUGCAAGAAGAGUGGCUAAAUAAGGAUGUUAACCCCUCUUGCUGGAGGGACAAUUUCCUAUCCAGUGCAUCUGGGAUUCCCACACUAGAUGUUUCAAAUCAUCCUCAAUCUCAACAUUCCAGUUUAGAAGAAGAGUUGCUACAAAAAGAAACUGGAGAGAGGCAGGUGCAGUCUACCAAUGGAACGAGCAAAUCCAUCUGGCCAAUUAAGCCAAAUAAAGAAUUCAGUUGGUUACCACCUGGAUUUAUGUGCAACAGACAGAGUGUUACAGAAGCAGGAGAAGCCUGGUUGCAACCCCAGAACAUAAAGAGUCCAGGCUUUUUGUGGUCUGAUGUUCAACAUCUGCACUCUAAGGUGGCUUCUUGUCCAAAAGACACAAGGCAUUCAGCAGGCCUUACAACUGUUUCUGGUGUGACAGGACGAAAUGGUGGUGCAUUUUCCUCUGCCAGCUUCCGACCCGUAGUUUCAAAUCGAUCUCUACCUGUUUCAACACCCAGGAAUGCAGUUUUCACCGGUUCAACCAGACCUCGCGUAGAAUGCAAGAUGAAGCACUCCCAUCCAAAGCCUUGUGCCAGUCAAAUGGCACCAGCAGUUCAAAUUCGAACAGUAAUGCCAGUACGUUCAUCUCCUACAAGGAGAAUGCCAUCUCCUAGCCAGGAAGGGACUUCCUCGGAGGGUGAGAUAAAGAGCGCUGAAGUAACGGGGAAGGACAUCUCAACUGCAAGCUCAGAAUUUUGUAGACUUCAGAUAUGAGCAGUGUACACAUUUUGAAAUCUUGUUAAAAGGCAAGUCCUCCGGAAAUUGCAGGACUCCUGUACCCUGCAUAUAGUGAUAGCGUGAAAUGAAAAAAUGAGUAGAGAAUAAAAGAAUUGAUAUAAAUUCAACUAUUGCUUGUGGUUGAGCUAUCAACAGCUUUUUCUGUUUGUUCCAUAUAGUGAUCAGUUGUUUAGCUGGUGGCUUAGUUUAGCUAAAGUUAGUAUAGUGCCAAGUGUCAUGUGUGUUCUUUUCUAGUUGAGGCUGGCUUAAGAAGGUACAAAUCUCCUGAAGUAAAUAUAGAGCAGAUUAAAUUUUCUUUAGAUGUUUACAAAUGAUACUUUUCUGGGGAGGAGAAAUUGGUCCUGAUUAGAAGAUAAUUGGGAGAUUGAAAGUCUUACUGUCCUUUAGGCAUUGAGUUUAGGAAGCUUCUGAGCACGGUUGAUUAGGUAAACAUUUUUUUAAAAAAAAAAAAAUUAGGAAGGUAUUUUUGUGUGAAAAAUAGAAUAUGGUCUUGGAUUUUGGCCUCUAAGAUUCAAGUCCCAAGCUUUUUCAGAAUCCAUUUGAUCAUUGAACUCUGUAGCCGCUCCCAGCCCGCAGUAGGGAUUAGUUGGACCGUACGGUAUUACCAGUCCAUGGGCCCAGAUACCCUACUGUGCAAAAAAAAAAAAAAAAAAAUUAGACCACUGUCCAAAUGUCCCAAAGAAAAGCAAUAAAUGGCUAACAACAAAAUGUCCAAUAAUAACUAAAGCAAAAAAAUUUCUUGGCAAGAAAAGAAAUUCUGCAAGGAAAUUCCUGUGUAUAUACCACUUAUUUCUCUCCUAUCGUAUAUACCUCAGGGCCAACCAUGGACGUUCAGAUUAAAAUAGUCGACUCAAGUUGCUUUUCAAUCUGGGGUGUCAAUUGAUCACAUUUUUGUGUUAAAAUUAAGAAUUAAUCAAAAGCAAAAUAGCCUAAGAAGGAAAAAAAAAAAAGAAUACAUUUAGGGACUAAAACACGAGAUUAAAGGUUCCUGCACUAACAAUCGUAUAUAAGGAGUCUAAUCAAAUUGAAAUUAAUUGGUAUGCAUCCAAACUCACUAAUUUAUACAUCAUCAACGUAUGAAAGAUAAAUACAAGAGGAAAGGCUCAGUAAUUUUUGUAUCUAAAUGUAUGUUUAUGUUUUCAUAUAAAGCAACGAAUCUUGUGAAGUUAAAGUCGUUAAAUAUGGUUCAAACUUGAUUCGGGUAAUGAUCAACUCCCUAUCGAAUGCCUCUAACUUGGUUGAAAAUUCAACCUGCAACAAAAUCAUAAGCGAUUUGUUCUAGACCAGUUUACACACUUCUACAUUUUCCAGAGACACUACCAGUGACCAGCUGUGUCCACUUUUCACUUACUCAACCGUUGAUCUCAAUGACAAAAAUUGCACCUUUGCUUGACGUAACACAAAACUCUAGCUUGUAAUUGCACGCACACACAGAUUUCCACUCUUUCCUUCUUCUUCUCAUGACAAUUUUCUCCGAAGAAUUAUCAUAAAAUAUCAUCCAGAAAUACAAUGAAUUCAUCAGCCAGUCUUCAAAAUUCGCUUCCCGAUGAUAUUGCCCUCAAAAUUGCUUUGUCGCUUCAGGUUCUUUUUCUUUUUUAAUUUAUCUGAGCUGGUAUUUCUUGAGUUGGAUAAUCCCAUCUACUUCUUUAAAAUGGGUUUUCUAAAAGAUUGAAUCUUUUUUUUGUUUUGGAUGUGAAGGUAUCAGAUGUUUGUUCACUGGGCAGUUGCUCAAGGUUCUGGCGCGAGCUAUGUGGGUCUGAUCAUGUCUGGGAGGCUCUGUACAGAGAUAGAUGGCCUGCAAUUGAUUUAGGUGAGGAAUCUUCAGCUGAUGAGAACGGAAAUCAUCAUCUUCAUCAACAGUUGGACCUCAAUUUAAUGGUCAAUUCUCACUCUUUUUGCCUCUGAAUUGAAAUUUGUGCAUAAUCAUGACUUUGUUGCAAUAAAUACCAAAAUAAUAGGUUCAGUUGGGGAUGCAGUGAAUCAUUUUUGAUCAACUGUUUUUGUUGCUAUGACAUCGUUUUUAUGUGGAAGACAAGUUUUGUGGGAAAGAAAAAGAGAACUUAACAACACAGGGAAAAAGAAAAAAGUGAAGGCGAAAAAUCCUUUUGCUUUUUCUGCGUAAUCAAAUUGAUGCUGGGUUUUAAGUAUUUUCUGGUGGAAUUGAUGUUAAUGGAUUCAAAAUUUUUAUGUUUGAUUUGACUCUGAAAGAUUAGUUACAGAUUAUGGUAGUCACUAGUGGUGGGAUUGAUCUUAUUGGGUUGAAUAUUUUUAUGUUUGGGUUGGUUUUGUAAUCUCGUAAGGACUCUGUCGAGAAAUUGAGAUGUGAAGUGUGAUUCAAAUGGAUAGCAUGCUCCGUCUGAUUCAAAUCCUAUUUUUAGUGCCCCUAUUUGUUGUCCUUUAUGCAUGAUUGAAUGUACUUGCUUUAGGGAUGGAGGGGGUUGUACGCACAUAAGCACAAUGAGAUGGCACGGAAAGCUGCCUCUAUAUUUAAUUAUGUGGAAAGAUGUUUAGCAUUUGAAGCAAUUGAGGUUGGAUAUUACUUAAAAGCAGUUGAAGACCUAUCUGCAAUGCAGUUUGGAUUUAAGGACGUCCAGAUGUUUUUUCUCAGACCAAACAUCAAUGUGCUUUUCAACUUGAUUGGCUUGCAUUAUUGCUUCAGUAAGCUUGACUUGCCGGUAAGUACUAUAUUUGACCUGCCCGUAUCUAUCUUUGGUUGUUAUUAAUCCUUUGCAAAUUGAAAUCCAUUAUCUGUACAAUGUGUGAAGUUCCUCACCUGUAUCGACUGGCAAAAGUCUUCAACCAUAUAUUAUGUCAGUUAGCACAUGCAACUUAAAGCUAAAAAGGGAAGUAUAUUUUAGUGUGAUCAUGAAGUGUACUGAAUUGUCUAAGCAGAUUAAACUGUUUGUUGAGAUUGAGCUUUUUCACAUUGUAUUUUGUGAAGUAAAUAAAACAUCAGAUGUUUAAUUCUCCACCUUUGUCAAAAAACUAGCUACGAUACCUUGAGAUAGGCUUUUGAAAAACCUAUGCAGACUCAGGUGUGAGCUUUGAAUCUGAUCCUUAGCAGAAUCACAUCCUUGGUUUCGCAGUCAUAAAUUGUGAGAAUUCAUUCAAAUGCCCACUUUAGUUUUAGUAUGAGGGCAAAAGAUGCUCCCCAAAGCAUAAGAAGUUUGUUCUGAAUUGUCCUUUCUGAUUCCACAGCCCUAGUCUUAUAUUGCGGCUAGCAAGUUCCUGGCUUGUUAGCAACAUGUUAUACUAUCCAAAGUGUGUAAUGAAUCACUCUGUAUCAGCCGGGUCUUUUGAUGUCUUAUCAUUGUUACUUCUAGGCUGAGUGUGUUGCAGAAGCACUAAGCAUGUGCAGGAUUUCAGAAAGGCAAGUAUGUGUCAGAUGGUGGAAGCUUGGUAGAUGGUUCUAUGGCUUUCGCCUGAGGGAUGAAUCACUUUCUCGUAAUGUUACUUUAGGAGAUCUUGCAACAUCCAAAGAAGAAGAAGUUCUCGGGGUGCUUCAUCGAGGUGCAAUUCAUGAGGUAUUGCGUGUUCAGAUCUCGGCUGCAAAACCUGAAUGCACUCCCUGGUAAUUCCAAAGUGCAGAAAGUGGGAAAGAUUGAGCACAACAAAUGCUUACAUCUUUUAUAGUAUUUCUUUGCUGGUGCCCAUGUGACAAUAUUUGUGAUGAAGACUGCAUUGUUUCAUAGUUGUGGAAGAGAAAGUUCCAGUUAAGGGGAUCUUAGUAUUACCACUCCCUCUUUGAGCCAUGUUUGCCAGGAAUUUAUAGCUGUGCCAGGAGAGCUACUGCCUUUAGUUAUGAAUAUAUAUUUUGUACAAAAUCCAACAGAAGCAGGAAUAAAUUUGUUCUGGCUCCACCUAGAUGUAGCUGAGGAAGAUAUCCAAGGUCCAAAUUCUGAUGCUGAACCCACAUCCACGCUUAACAAGCAUGAAGUGCUUAGAGUUGGACGAUGUAAAGGCUCUUCCCAUGUUUCUGCCUGUAAAUAGUUGUUGAAUGGUGUCACCUGAUAAUAAAGAAGAAAUUAUGUCUCUUUGAGAAGAUUUUUCCAAAAAUGUGGGACCAUUGGUCCAAUGCCACAAGAGUACUACAGUGAAAGAAAUUUCAACUUAUCUGUUCAUCUAAUUGUGCUUGCAUGUCAACUGCAGAAGAAAAGGUGGGCAACAUGUUUACUGUCUUUGUUACUUAGAAGUUGGUUCUCCACAUAUGUUUACAUUUGCAUUUCACAUCUGUAUGUUUUUAGCCAAUCCAUGCAAAGCGAAUUUCACUUACAUUUGAGCAUGAUAGCAGAAUUAACCUGAUUGCUUGGUCUUUAUCUAUGCAUAGUCAUAAGCGUGUCGAUCUUGAAAGAUGUUGAUAUUCAUAGUUUAAAAUGACCUCUAAAUUAAGCUAAUGAAGAUAAGAGAAAGAAGCUAACUGGUUUGAUGUAUUGAAUUGUGUUGGAAAUUGCAUGAAAUGUGGUAGUUUCUCUUCCUGCAAAACUAUAGAUAUUUCGCUUCCAUCCAUUAGCAAAUUCCUUCUAAUUUUGAGCAUCUCCUCUAAAUUAUAUCAGUUCAUGAUGCGCUAAAUAUGCCUCCAAGGACGCAUUCUACUUGGAACAAUUGCACAACUUGAUUGAAACUUAACCGCUAUCAUUCAUUGGUUCAAAGUCAAGCUUAAAUAGGAAAUACACUUCCAAGUAAACAGUAAAUAUAAGCACUCUCAAAAUUCGUUAGCUUAGCAUCACUUUUACAGCACUUUCAGAUCACGAAUAGAGUAGGAUCAUCAUCUUAAAUUUGCAUUACCAGUAUUGGUCCCGGACGCAAAUCAAAUUAUUGUAGCAAAGUGAUGAAAAACCACGGCAGGAAAGAACUUUAUACCCAGUGGCGACUAUUGAGAUGAGCGAGUCAGGAGCAAUGAUAAACAUAGAUGAUCCGUCGUCCGGAGGUGGAAUGCAGCUGGCCAUCUGCAGAAGAGCUAGGACAAGCACCAAGAGGAGUCCUUUCACAUCUGUCUGCUGAACAACAGCAAUUUCCCAUGAAGACAUAGGCAACAUGAAAUUUCUGACCCUUUUAGUUCAGCUGAGAGAGAUUAACUAUGAGGGCACAUCCUAUUUUGCUAGCUAACCUAGGAAUAUGGAUUUGCGUACUGUUUGGUAACUGGCUGAAUGAAUAAGUUAGACUAAUCCCAGGAAUGAAUUGAAUAAAUUUUACAAUAACUACCAGCCGCCAUGAACCAAUUGCUUGAAUGCCACAAGGGUCGUUCCUUCCUGCAUAUGCUGCCUCUCUCUUCCUGGUAUAGCACUUAUAACAAGUUAUAUAUUCUAUCCUAAAGUUACAAAUGCGUAAAUUGACUUCCUCACACUUAUUUCCAUGUUGCUCCAAAAAUUGUUUAGUUUCUUGCAUACAGCAGUACUUGCAAAUGACUUAUCACAUUCCCUGUCAGACAAAAGAACGUAGCCUUGGAUGGAUAACGUUCACAGUGAUCUCCCUAAUAUGAACGUCCACUAAAAUGAGCAAAAAGAAUUCGAGAGAGGGGUUGGAAUGGCAACAUAACACUGUAGAACUGCAUUCGUUGAUUUUAUUCCUCAUUGAACAAAUUCAAGUCUGUUGAUGUCAAAUUUUAGAUAUGGUUUCCACAUACGAGUUUCUGUGGUAAAGAUAAAUGAGAACAAACAACUUGAUCUCAAUACAACUCUUUCUGUCAAAUAUUUAUAGACAUAUAUAUACCUGCAAACAUGCUGAAAUGUUCCAAAUAAAAUAUACUAAAACCACCAAAAGAGCAUCACUUUUUCU
This 34589-nucleotide long non-coding RNA is filed under the name Coffea arabica (coffee). Its description in RNAcentral is "long non-coding RNA (CARA_LNC002411)". Lineage: Eukaryota; Viridiplantae; Streptophyta; Magnoliopsida; Gentianales; Rubiaceae. The record is from RNAcentral.